RNAcentral lists this ribosomal RNA (451 nucleotides) under uncultured bacterium. Its description in RNAcentral is "bacterial SSU rRNA". It matches the Rfam family "Bacterial small subunit ribosomal RNA", at positions 354 to 796 of the family's 1533-position model. The record is from RNAcentral.
GUGGGGGAUAUUGCGCAAUGGGCGAAAGCCUGACGCAGCGACGCCGCGUGGGUGAUGAAGGCCUUCGGGUCGUAAAGCCCUGUCGAGGGGAACGAAACGGCUUCGACCUAAUACGUCGGGGCCCUGACGGUACCCCCAAAGGAAGCACCGGCUAACUCCGUGCCAGCAGCCGCGGUAAUACGGAGGGUGCAAGCGUUGUUCGGAAUCACUGGGCGUAAAGGGCGUGUAGGCGGUCCGCUAAGUCUGAUGUGAAAGCCCGGGGCUCACCCCCGGAAGGGCAUUGGAAACUGGCGGACUCGAGUCCCGGAGAGGAGGGUGGAAUUCCUGGUGUAGCGGUGAAAUGCGUAGAUAUCAGGAGGAACACCGGUGGCGAAGGCGGCCCUCUGGACGGUGACUGACGCUAAGACGCGAAAGCGUGGGGAGCAAACAGGAUUAGAAACCCUAGUAGUCC